This 355-nucleotide ribosomal RNA is filed under the name Cellulomonas carbonis T26. RNAcentral describes it as "bacterial SSU rRNA". It matches the Rfam family "Bacterial small subunit ribosomal RNA", at positions 1 to 356 of the family's 1533-position model. The record is from RNAcentral. Lineage: Bacteria; Bacillati; Actinomycetota; Actinomycetes; Micrococcales; Cellulomonadaceae.
UACGGAGAGUUUGAUCCUGGCUCAGGACGAACGCUGGCGGCGUGCUUAACACAUGCAAGUCGAACGGUGAUCUCGGUGCUUGCACCGGGUGAUCAGUGGCGAACGGGUGAGUAACACGUGAGCAACCUGCCCCUGACUCUGGGAUAACCCCGAGAAAUCGGAGCUAAUACCGGAUACGAGACGCACGGGCAUCCGUAGCGUCUGGAAAGAAUUUUGGUCAGGGAUGGGCUCGCGGCCUAUCAGCUUGUUGGUGGGGUAACGGCCCACCAAGGCGACGACGGGUAGCCGGCCUGAGAGGGCGACCGGCCACACUGGGACUGAGACACGGCCCAGACUCCUACGGGAGGCAGCAGUG